RNAcentral lists this long non-coding RNA (303 nucleotides) under Phaseolus vulgaris (common bean). Its description in RNAcentral is "long non-coding RNA (PVUL_LNC002195)". Lineage: Eukaryota; Viridiplantae; Streptophyta; Magnoliopsida; Fabales; Fabaceae. The record is from RNAcentral.
GGGUACUUCUCUCCUUGAUGGAAACUCUUGGCUUCUCCUCUCGGCUGGUGCUCUCGGCUUCUCCUCUCGGCUGGUGCUCUCGGCUUCUCCUCACAACAGGUGGGGGGUACCUGCAAGUCGCUCCGAUGCCAAAGUCAGAAAAGGUUUAACGUUCAUCAGAUAAAAUCACUCUUACCUUUUUUCUUACUCUGAACUUCUAUUUAUAAGGUUUCCUUAAUGGGCUUUUCUCCUUUUCUGUUGGACUUUCUCUUUACACCUUUUUAUUAUUUACACACUCCUCCUGUGGGUUUUAAACUUAAUUGG